Long non-coding RNA from Zea mays, 358 nucleotides. RefSeq lists it as uncharacterized. The record is from RefSeq and is a predicted model, not a curated record. The transcript has 2 exons. Lineage: Eukaryota; Viridiplantae; Streptophyta; Magnoliopsida; Poales; Poaceae.
CUCAGCGGGCACCUGUCAUCAAAGCCUCUUACAUGACAAGGAGAGCAUGUACCACUUGCUCAACUUCAUUUGUGUUCACAACUACAAGGGGAUGAAGCAGCUGCAAGGAAAAACAUCAAUUACAGAAGCAGCUGCAAGGACUUGCGAAGGUUCUAGAGGAGGAAAGGAAUAAUAUUUUCAGUCUCCAGGCAAAAAAUGACUGAAGUCGGUCCAUCUUUUCAAGCACUACAUUACAUUUUAUAGCCUAUAGAGUAAAUGUGAUCUGAAAUUAUUUUGUCCUUACUCUUCUAUUUGUAUGCUUAUUCUGAAAUUACUUUGCACUAUUGGCCAAAUGAUCUACCCAUCACAUUUUUGGAAA